Molecule: long non-coding RNA, 1574 nt
Organism: Pogona vitticeps (central bearded dragon)
Lineage: Eukaryota; Metazoa; Chordata; Lepidosauria; Squamata; Agamidae
Source: Ensembl
AAUUUUCCCAAUUGGGUUUCCUGGGCCUACUAUCAAAGCUCUAACUAUGGGUAAACCAGGCAUCCUACUGGACUUUUGCUGAGCAGAAACCUGAAGGGGGAGAAUGAUGAUCUGGGCAACCAGUCAUGCAUUUUAAAAAGCCACAUCAACACUGAGCUUGGAAAUUUAUUUUGAAAGAAUUACUGUUUAUAGUUCAGAUUUUAAAAAAUAGUUGCCACUGUAGUUACAAUUUUGGAAAAGGAAAUAUGUACUCCUGUCUGAUCCACAGAAGUAACUAAGUUAAGUCACAAAAGCAAUUAUGCUUUUAUUAUUGGAAAAGAGUUAAUUUCCUCUUUUAAUACUAAUUAUUUGUAAUUAGUUGCUUCCAAGCUGUAGGGUCAUAUAGAAAACAGGAUCUGAUGAAUGUCUGGGAAAUCUUGAAAAGCUUGCAUGAGACAUAACCUUCCUUUCCAUGUUCUUCUUCUCUUACAGAAGUCUCAGCUUCACCAGAUCAAAAAUAGAGACACCACAGAGAGAAGUGUUUGUUGGAGAAUAUAAACUUGAUUCCAACACAAAGAUGAAUGCCUGGGAAGAGCUUCCUGCUUCACACCUUGUGCUUCACCGCUUCGUCCCAACUGGUGCAACGUGGCAUGAAACACACCUGGGAAGACAAGGCAUCCAUCAUUGGUGGUGUGAGACCCAGACUGUCAGGCCAGGCCAGGCCCACAUAUAACGGCAUUUGUGAUUGAUGGGCCAGUUCUUUAUCUACAGCCGCCUCUUCCCAUCCAGCACCUGCAGCUGGAACUUCACCUGACAAGCCAUCAGGAGAGGAGAAUUCCAUCAUUCAUACAUGAAAGGAGUAAUACAGUUCUACCCUCCCCCCCUUCUCUUGCUUGGUUGCAGAAAUGAUCGCUCUUUAGCGUUCCUGUUUACCUUGAGAUAGAAAACAUGGCAGUAGGCUUCCUCCUUGAGGGGACUGGUGGUCUGCAUCAGCACAGGAAGGAAAGGGUGAGCUAAAAUGAAAGUAAAAGUCAGGAUAGAAGUUUGGAAUUUACUUGUAUAAAGCAAUUUGUCCCUGGUUUUCAUUUUGUGCUCUGAAGAAUAAUUCCGUUGUUAUUACUUGCUGCAGUGUUAGCGACUGGGUCAUUGCAUGACUGGUUAUGUUGUCCCUCACCUGUUUGCUGCUACUUGUUACUUUAAAAAAAAGCUUUUGGUUUGAUAAUUUAGAAAAAUCCAGGCAGACGGACUCUAAAGAUGUCUUUAAAAUGUCCUUAAAAUGUUACUUCUAAAUAUAAUUAAAAGACCAUCACUCUUGUUGUACCCUCUCAUGCUAUUAUUUUUGAAAUGGCAUUUGCGGAUGCUCAUUAGUGUCUCUCUGACCCCAGCAAACUGUUUCAGGUGAGUGCAUUGCUUGCAAUUCUGGCUGAUGUAGUGUAGUAAUGAGAGUGCUGAACUUAAGUUCAAGAGACCUCAGUUCAAAUCUCCACUCAACCACAAAACACAUUCAUGGUGAGCUUGGGCCAGUCACAUUUUCUGAGCUUGACCUUCUUGGUAGGGCUGCUGUUGUGAUAAUAAAUGGAGGAGGAGGAGAUCCA